Molecule: ribosomal RNA, 166 nt
Filed under: Saurida elongata (slender lizardfish)
Lineage: Eukaryota; Metazoa; Chordata; Actinopteri; Aulopiformes; Synodontidae
Description: partial 12S rRNA
Source: RNAcentral
CACCGCGGUUAUACGAGAGGCCCGAGUUGAUAAACACCGGCGUAAAGUGUGGUUAGGAAUUUUCCCUCUAAAGUAAAACACCCCCAGAACUGUUAUACGCUCCCGGGGGCAGGAAGCCCAACAACGAAAGUGACUUUAAACCUCCGACUCCACGACAGCUACGACA